CAGGAACUGGUUAUGGUCCGACAGCGCCACUUGCUGCUGGGGAGGCGGAACUACAUUAUAAUUAUAAUGGGUCAAUACAUACCGAUAGUCUAAAGAAACUUUACAAUAUAAAGAAACAUACAAAGAACAUCUUUAUUACCUACACAAGACACCUACAUCACAUGACCAGCUGAGCGCUUCAGCUGCAGAGGACUGGUCAGCCCUAAAGCAUCGCUGAGAUGUUCAGAAGUUCUGCAUUGAUCCCAAAGUCAUCAAUAAAUGAAAGUUUGUGUUUCAGUGGUUCUGGAGUCUCCUGGGCCCUCGGACCGGUCCAGACCUGGGUCCACCAGAGCC
Long non-coding RNA from Xiphophorus maculatus (southern platyfish), 333 nucleotides. RefSeq lists it as uncharacterized. Lineage: Eukaryota; Metazoa; Chordata; Actinopteri; Cyprinodontiformes; Poeciliidae. The transcript has 4 exons. The record is from RefSeq and is a predicted model, not a curated record.